This 621-nucleotide ribosomal RNA is filed under the name uncultured archaeon. RNAcentral's name for it is "bacterial SSU rRNA". It matches the Rfam family "Archaeal small subunit ribosomal RNA", at positions 43 to 651 of the family's 1478-position model. The record is from RNAcentral.
GAUAAGCCAUGCAAGUUGAAUGGGAUACCUAAAUUUUCCAUAGCAAACUGCUCAGUAACACAUGAUCAACUUGCCCUAUGGAGAAAAAUAACCUCGGGAAACUGAGGAUAAUAUUUCAUAGUUGAAUAGGCUUGGAAAAGUUUUUCAAUGAAAAGGAAAAGAUAAAUGGUUCUUUUCUGCCAUAGGAUAGGAUCGUGGUCGAUUAUGGUAGUUGGUGAGGUAAUGGCUCACCAAGCCGAUAAUCGAUAGGGGCCGUGAGAGCGGGAGCCCCGAGAUGGGUACUGAGACACCGACCCAGACCUUACGAGGUGCAGCAGGCGCGAGACCUCCGCAAUACACGAAAGUGUGACGGGGUUACCCAAAGUGUUCAUUUUUGAACUGUGGUAGGUGAGUAAUGUCCCCUACUAGAAAGGAGAGGGCAAGGCUGGUGCCAGCCGCCGCGGUAAAACCAGCUCUUCAAGUGGUCGGGAUGAUUAUUGGGCUUAAAGUGUCCGUAGCCGGUUUAGUAAGUUCCUGGUAAAAUCAGGUAGCUUAACUAUCUGUAUGCUAGGAAUACUACUAUACUAGUGGGCGGGAGAGGUCUGAGGUACUACAGGGGUAGGGGUGAAAUCUUAUAUCUUG